GUGCGCGCUUCAGCCGCAUCUGUGCUGAAAUUGGAACGAUGCAGAGAUCAGCAUGGCCCCUGCACAAGGAUGACAUGCAGAUUUGUGAAGCGUUCCAUAUUUUU
Molecule: small nuclear RNA, 104 nt
Organism: Oryctolagus cuniculus (rabbit)
Lineage: Eukaryota; Metazoa; Chordata; Mammalia; Lagomorpha; Leporidae
Source: Ensembl